Molecule: ribosomal RNA, 253 nt
Filed under: uncultured bacterium
Lineage: Bacteria
Description: partial 16S ribosomal RNA
Rfam family: Bacterial small subunit ribosomal RNA
Source: RNAcentral
UACGAAGGGGGCUAGCGUUGCUCGGAUUUACUGGGCGUAAAGGGCGCGUAGGCGGACAGUUUAGUCAGAGGUGAAAGCCCGGGGCUCAACCCCGGAAUUGCCUUUGAUACUGGUUGUCUUGAGUUUGGGAGAGGUAUGCGGAACUCCGAGUGUAGAGGUGAAAUUCGUAGAUAUGCGGAAGAACACCAGUGGCGAAGGCGGCAUACUGGCCCAAUACUGACGCUGAGGCGCGAAAGCGUGGGGAGCAAACAGG